CCUACGGGGGGCAGCAGUGAGGAAUAUUGGUCAAUGGGCGCGAGCCUGAACCAGCCAAGUCGCGUGAGGGAAGACGGUCCUAUGGAUUGUAAACCUCUUUUGUCGGGGAGCAAAAGACGCCACGCGUGGCGUUCCGAGAGUACCCGAAGAAAAAGCAUCGGCUAACUCCGUGCCAGCAGCCGCGGUAAUACGGAGGAUGCGAGCGUUAUCCGGAUUUAUUGGGUUUAAAGGGUGCGCAGGCGGAAGAUCAAGUCAGCGGUAAAAUUGAGGGGCUCAACCUCUUCGAGCCGUUGAAACUGGUGUUCUUGAGUGAGCGAGAGGUAUGCGGAAUGCGUGGUGUAGCGGUGAAAUGCAUAGAUAUCACGCAGAACUCCGAUUGCGAAGGCAGCAUACCGGCGCGGAACUGACGCUGAGGCACGAAAGUGUGGGUAUCGAACAGGAUUAGAUACCCGAGUAGUC
Molecule: ribosomal RNA, 459 nt
Filed under: uncultured bacterium
Lineage: Bacteria
Description: partial 16S ribosomal RNA
Rfam family: Bacterial small subunit ribosomal RNA
Source: RNAcentral